Molecule: ribosomal RNA, 1547 nt
Organism: Candidatus Glomeribacter gigasporarum BEG34
Lineage: Bacteria; Pseudomonadati; Pseudomonadota; Betaproteobacteria; Burkholderiales; Burkholderiaceae
Rfam family: Bacterial small subunit ribosomal RNA
Source: Rfam
AAGAAGAAGAGUUUGAUCCUGGCUCAGAUUGAACGCUGGCGGCAUGCCUUACACAUGCAAGUCGGACGGCAGCACAGGUGGAAACACUGGGUGGCGAGUGGCGAACGGGUGAGUAAAACAUCGGAACGUAUCCUGUAGAGGGGGAUAGCCCGGCGAAAGCCGGAUUAAUACCGCAUAUGCUCAAAAGAGGAAGGCGGGGGACCGGAUGGGUGACCAUUGGGCCUCGCGCUAGAGGGGCGGCCGAUGUCGGAUUAUGCUAGUUGGUGGGGUAAGGGCCUACCAAGGCGGUGAUCCGUAGCGGGUCUGAGAGGAUGAUCCGCCACACUGGGACUGAGACACGGCCCAGACUCCUACGGGAGGCAGCAGUGGGGAAUUUUGGACAAUGGGGGCAACCCUGAUCCAGCAAUGCCGCGUGUGUGAAGAAGGCCUUCGGGUUGUAAAGCACUUUUGUCCGAGAAGAAAGGGCUCCGGUAAAUAAUCGGAGUGGAUGACGGUAUCGGAAGAAAAAGCACCGGCUAACUACGUGCCAGCAGCCCGCGGUAAUACGUAGGGUGCGAGCGUUAAUCGGAAUGACUGGGCGUAAAGGGUGCGUAGGCGGUUUGUCAAGACGGAAGUGAAAUCCCCGGGCUUAACCUGGGAACAGCAUACGUGACUGGCAGACUAGAGUAUGGCAGAGGGAGGUGGAAUUCCACGUGUAGCAGUGAAAUGCGUAGAGAUGUGGAGGAACAUCGAUGGCGAAGGCAGCCUCCUGGGCCAAUACUGACGCUCAGGCACGAAAGCGUGGGGAGCAAACAGGAUUAGAUACCCUGGUAGUCCAUGCCCUAAACGAUGUCAACUAGUUGUUGGGGAUUCAUUUCCUUAGUAACGAAGCUAACGCAUGAAGUUGACCGCCUGGGGAGUACGGUCGCAAGAUUAAAACUCAAAGGAAUUGACGGGGACCCGCACAAGCGGUGGAUGAUGUGGAUUAAUUCGAUGCAACGCGAAAAACCUUACCUACCCUUGACAUGGCCGGAAACCUGAAGAGAUUCGGGUGUGCUCGCAAGAGAACCGGCACACAGGUGCUGCAUGGCUGUCGUCAGCUCGUGUCGUGAGAUGUUGGGUUAAGUCCCGCAACGAGCGCAACCCUUAUCCUUAGUUGCUACGCAAGGGCACUCUAAGGAGACUGCCAGUGACAAACUGGAGGAAGGUGGGGAUGACGUCAAGUCCUCAUGGCCCUUACGGGUAGGGCUUCACACGUCAUACAAUGGUCUGUACAGAGGGAUGCCAACCUGUGAAGGGGAGUCAAUCCCAAAAAACGGAUCGUAGUCCGGAUUGUAGUCUGCAACUCGACUGCAUGAAGCUGGAAUCGCUAGUAAUCGCGGAUCAGCAUGCCGCGGUGAAUACGUUCCCGGGUCUUGUACACACCGCCCGUCAUACCAUGGGAGUGAGUUUUACCAGAAGCCAUUAGCCUAACCGUAAGGAGGGCGAUGGCCACGGUAGGACGCAUGACUGGGGUAAAGUCGUAACAAGGUAGCCGUAUCGGAAGGUGCGGCUGGAUCACCUCCUUU